This 429-nucleotide ribosomal RNA is filed under the name Acidobacteriota bacterium. Its description in RNAcentral is "Acidobacteria bacterium partial 16S ribosomal RNA". It matches the Rfam family "Bacterial small subunit ribosomal RNA", at positions 355 to 776 of the family's 1533-position model. The record is from RNAcentral. Lineage: Bacteria; Pseudomonadati; Acidobacteriota.
UGGGGAAUUUUGGACAAUGGGGGAAACCCUGAUCCAGCCAUCCCGCGUGUGCGAUGAAGGCCUUCGGGUUGUAAAGCACUUUUGGCAGGAAAGAAACGUCAUGGGUUAAUACCCCGUGAAACUGACGGUACCUGCAGAAUAAGCACCGGCUAACUACGUGCCAGCAGCCGCGGUAAUACGUAGGGUGCAAGCGUUAAUCGGAAUUACUGGGCGUAAAGCGUGCGCAGGCGGUUCGGAAAGAAAGAUGUGAAAUCCCAGAGCUCAACUUUGGAACUGCAUUUUUAACUACCGGGCUAGAGUGUGUCAGAGGGAGGUGGAAUUCCGCGUGUAACAGUGAAAUGCAUAGAUAUGCGGAGGAACACCGAUGGCGAAGGCAGCCUCCUUGGAUAACACUGACGCUUAUGCACGAAAGCGUGGGGAGCAAACAGG